This is a long non-coding RNA of Spea bombifrons (plains spadefoot toad), 371 nucleotides long. RefSeq lists it as uncharacterized. NCBI's taxonomy places the organism in Eukaryota, Metazoa, Chordata, Amphibia, Anura, Pelobatidae. The record is from RefSeq and is a predicted model, not a curated record. The transcript has 2 exons.
UGAUGCAGACAAGGAGGAUGAUGAGAAAAAGGAGGAUGAGGAGGAAGAGGGAGAGGAGGAGGCGGAGAAGGAGAGGGAGGAUGAGGAGGAGGAAAAGGAGAAGAAGGAGAAUGAGGAGGAGAAGGAGGAUGAGGAAGAAGAGGAGGCUGGCAAACAUGGGUGCUUUCCCUGCAAAUGGAGACCCAAGAUCAGAUCAAGCCAAAAAACACCUGGACUCCUGGGCAGACUCCUGUCAUUAUGGAAGAGGAGGAUUAUGAAGAAGGGCAUGCGUGUGGAUGAUUAAGUCAUCGCAUUUGUUUUAGAAUAAGUUAGAAUAAGUUAGAAUAAGUUAGUAUGUUAAAAAUAAAACUGUUGCGUUGCAUUAAACAAAA